AACAUACUCCCUCCGUCCGAAAAUACUUGUCAUCAAAAUGGAUGAAAAGAGAUGUAUCUAAACCUAAAAUAUGUCUAGAUACAUCCCCUUUUAUCCAUUUUAAUGACAAGUAUUUCCGGACGGAGGGAGUAUUAC
Non-coding RNA from Triticum aestivum (bread wheat), 135 nucleotides. The record is from Rfam. Lineage: Eukaryota; Viridiplantae; Streptophyta; Magnoliopsida; Poales; Poaceae.